Molecule: ribosomal RNA, 122 nt
Filed under: Thermoplasmata archaeon
Lineage: Archaea; Methanobacteriati; Thermoplasmatota; Thermoplasmata
Also listed under: 1 other name
Source: RNAcentral
GCUGACGGCCAAAGCAGCGGGGAAACACCCGGUCCCAUUCCGAACCCGGCAGUUAAGCCCGCCGGCGUUCCACGUGGUACUGAAGUGCGCGAGCCUACGGGAAGCGUGGAAAGCUGUCAGCA